RNAcentral lists this ribosomal RNA (303 nucleotides) under uncultured bacterium. RNAcentral's name for it is "partial 16S ribosomal RNA". It matches the Rfam family "Bacterial small subunit ribosomal RNA", at positions 507 to 809 of the family's 1533-position model. The record is from RNAcentral.
AGCAGUAGCCGCGGUAAUACAGAGGGUGCGAGCGUUAAUCGGAUUUACUGGGCGUAAAGCGUGCGUAGGCGGCUUCUUAAGUCGGAUGUGAAAUCCCUGAGCUUAACUUAGGAAUUGCAUUCGAUACUGGGAAGCUAGAGUAUGGGAGAGGAUGGUAGAAUUCCAGGUGUAGCGGUGAAAUGCGUAGAGAUCUGGAGGAAUACCGAUGGCGAAGGCAGCCAUCUGGCCUAAUACUGACGCUGAGGUACGAAAGCAUGGGGAGCAAACAGGAUUAGAGACCCCAGUAGUCCCUGUCUCUUAUAA